AUUGAACGCUGGCGGCAUGCUUUACACAUGCAAGUCGAACGGCAGCACGGACUUCGGUCUGGUGGCGAGUGGCGAACGGGUGAGUAAUACAUCGGAACGUACCCAGUAAUGGGGGAUAACUAUCCGAAAGGAUAGCUAAUACCGCAUACGCCCUACGGGGGAAAGAGGGGGAUCGCAAGACCUCUUGUUAUUGGAGCGGCCGAUGGCUGAUUAGCUAGUUGGUAGGGUAAAGGCCUACCAAGGAAACGAUCAGUAGCGGGUCCUAGAGGACGAUCGGCCACACUGGAACUGAGACACGGUCCCGACUCCUACGGGAGUCAGCAGUGGGGAAUCUUGGACAAUGGGCGCAAGCCUGAUCCAGCAAUGCCGCGUGCGUGAAGAAGGCCUUCGGGUUGUAAAGCGCUUUUGUCAGGGAGCAAAUCCUUGUGGCUAAUACCCACCGGGGAUGAGAGUACCUGAAGAAUAAGGACCGGCUAACUACGUGCCAGCCGCCGCCGUAA
This 500-nucleotide ribosomal RNA is filed under the name uncultured bacterium. RNAcentral's name for it is "partial 16S ribosomal RNA". It matches the Rfam family "Bacterial small subunit ribosomal RNA", at positions 30 to 523 of the family's 1533-position model. The record is from RNAcentral.